UCAGAUCUUCGAGCAGCUCGGAGAGUACCGAGUACCAGCUCCCACUACAUCUCCAACACUAUCUUCUUCUUUGACGAGCCCUCUAUCUCCCCCAACUGAAUCUCCUGCAUCGAGUAUUCAGGCUCUUUCUCCAUCUCCAUCAACCCCUGAUCAGGUAGGCUCUGUCACACUCAACUACACUUACAUUGCGUAUAUUAAUGAUUAUUUUGCGCUAAUUGUACAAUGUACACACUUGAUCUAUUACAAUUUACAUUUUUCUGGCAUUCUCAUAUAUCACAGAACUAAUGUUCCUAGGUUUAGUCAUGUUCUACUAGAGAUGAUAUUGUUCUUUUUUAGAUGCAGACAUAUAGGGGCACGUGUUGUUCAAGGUUCACGUUCAUGUUUAAAAUUUAUAUUUCAUUAAUCUUUCUAAUCAUUCCUAGAUGAUAACCAUUGUAAUCAUAUGGCCACCUCGUGAAUUGAGGAUUGAUGCAGCCGAUCUUUCUUUUGUUGUAAUGUAAAAUAUUUCAUUUGAGCAGGAUUUUUAAAACGUGUUGAUCUAAAAAUAGACUAAAUAUUAUAUUCUAAAUACAUUUUGCAAUGGUCUAGGGGUCUCAUAUAACCUUAAAAUUGAUUUUCGAUCAAUCGCUUGCUUUUAUUACUUUUGAUGUGCUGGUGAAUAUUUCUGUCACGUCUUUCCUUAUACGCACACUUUUUGUUUGCAAUUCUAAUAGAAUGGAUUGAAUUGGUGAUACAAUAUAUUUCAUGAUGUGAAGAUGUUGUCUUAUAAUCUCAACGAAGCCCUGCCUAUUUAAACUUUGGCCCAAAUGUUUAGCACAACAUUCUUUGCAGCUAAGGUUUUUUAUUGCAGGGGGAUUAUGAAUGUAAAUAUGAUUGUUGAUGACUUGAUAAAUUUUAGUCUUCCUACUUUUUCUAUUUACAAAUUUCAAGUCUGAAAGGGGAAAAAAAGCAUUUAUACCGUUAGCAUGAUUGAUGAUCAAAACUUCUUCCUAUAGGUCAUGAUAAAUUGACUUCUUUUUUAUACCGUCUCCAUUUCACUUCCUUGGAAGUGUACAUAGGAAACAUUUCAAAUUUUGGUCAACAUGAAGUUUCCCUAUUACUAGAGGUAUCAUCUCAUUUCCAACAUUUUUCCGUAGUUUAUAAGCUUCAAGCUCAAUCAUUUUAAUAUUAAUGUGUUCUAUAUUGCCCUAAAUUAGUGAUUUGAGUAGUGAAUAGUACAAGAUGAAAUAUUCCCACAAAAAACUUCUCUUUUAUUGAUGGUUUUCCAGUGUCUUAGGACUUAUUUAAAUAUCAAGUUUGUAGCUAAGCCACGGGACUUUUAUAUCUUGACUUGAUGCCUACAUUUUGUUGUUUCUUCCCCCAUAUUGAACAAAAUGUGCAUGAAUUUUUUUAUCAUCAUUACAAGAGAUUUCUAGUUCAUAAUCUUGAACUACAGCAUUUGGAUACUCACUUUAUUGUUUAACCAAAUGCAUUUUUGCAUAUUUGUGAAUGUUGUCAUCUACUUCAACUGUGCUUCAAAAGUUAGGCGAGUAAUGAAAUUACAUCCAUACUUAUAUUAAAAGGAUAAAUUGUUGAUCUAAGUGAAAAAGGGGAUCAAUAGUUGGUACUUGCUGACUACUAUAAACAGCAGAUCGUGCAAUUCGUCUUUCAGGUUUUAUAAGAAAUUGAGAUGUAAUUCUUUUUUGUUUUCCUAUGCUUCUUGUUGUAGAUUAGGCCUUUUCCUUCGACGUUGUCAUCGUAGUGAUUGGGUAGUCAAAUUUUCCUUGUGUAAAUAUGGAGCAAGUUCAACCAAAUGGAGAAAAAUGACUCAAGUAGUAAGCUAAAUAAACAUUUGAAUUUUUUAAUGUAUAGCAUGCUUUCACUUGACACUUGUCCAUCUCCAUUUUAACUUCUACAUCUACUUGGAACCGAGUUUUCCUAGCUCCCUUUUUCUUUCUUUUAGGUAUAACGUUCAUUUUCUUUGUGUUCAUAAUAGUUUCGAGAGCCUUGAAGGAGAUGAACUACACUAAUCUAAAUGGAAAACCCAUCCAAAUAUCAUAUUCUAAUCAAAACUAGAGCUCGGGCCGAAGUAGUGCAGGGAAUAAACUUGUAAGGUACUAUUUUCCCUUAGUUUAUCGUUUGGCAUGAUAGUUUUCCUUCAUUUUGAAGAAAUUAAAAAAAAAAAAGGGUUUGAUCUUGUAGAAUUUGGACAAAGCAAUUGAUGAAAGGUACUGAUGUGUACAAAAAUUAUAGCCCGACCCCGAACUAUCAAGCAUGGCCCGAGGUCAAUACCUCGACCACUCUCGUCUUCAAAUAUCCUCUAAAAAGUGGUCGGGCCUCUUCGAAGUCGGACCUAAUAAUCUGGCCCUACUAAGGUCAGGCCCACAUGCCAAAAUAUUAUCCUCGUCUCGAGCUUUUUACGUGUUUUAGUCCUCUUAUAACUCAAUUACUCUAUCUGAUGAGGAUAAGGACUCUAAAUGGUUGAAUCCUUCUACAGCUCAACCACCAACGUCUAUAAAUACAAGACCUAGCGCCAUUAUUCAGGUAUGUUUUUACAAUACAUACUUUUACAUAAUUUCCCCAUCUGCCUUUGUUUCAGGUACUGAAAGGUUCCGUUCGUGCUCGAUCUCAGUCCUCAUCUCGAGAAAUCAACAGGUACAAUUUUUUGCAUCAUCAGUGGCGCUGUCUGUGGGAAGCGAUACAUUAACCAUGUUUUUACCACAUUCAAAAAGUCACCGGAAGGACAAUAAUUUCAGACAGUUCCUCAACCAAGAAGCUCGAAGAGAUGUUUCUGCCUUCCGAAUGAUUUCAAAGUCCAACGUAGACAAAAAAGAUGUAUAGAUCAAAUUAAAAUAGGGCCGAAUUCAAAAACCCAGUUCUCAGAUCCGAUCUUCUCGCUUCUGAUCUCCUUUUGAACAAACUCCAUAAUGAAGAAAGAUCACUCCAAUAAGCAUCAAUGGAACUCAUAAUUCAUCGGGAUACUUCCAACAUCAGUUUACUGUUUAUCUACACGAUUGCCGACGGUAGUGUCAUUCCGAUCAGCAUGUGCAAAUCAUUCAUCCCUGCCUCCAAAGUUCUUGUGCAAACCCGAUCAUCUUCGUUGCAUAAUAAAGCCAUCGUCAAAACGAGGUGUUUUCUUCAUUUGUAACAUUCGGUUCAAUUUCCGUCCUCUCUUUUCUCUCUUCAUUAUCGCUCCUAACACGAAAGAUAAUACGGGUUUCAUUUCACAAUUGGAGUUUAUUGUGAAAAUCCUCGAUUCCCAUCUCUCUGUUGGCUUUUGGAGAAGAAUUUUCGUUGUUUUUCAUGCAAAACAAAAAGGACCCAAGUGGAAUAACCAUUGGAGAACCGUGUAUCAUCUUCUGCAACUCCAAUUUGUCGAUCUGGGAAUAUAUGCCAAAAUUCAACAUGUUUUGAAUAGUGAAUUGGGCCAAAAUUUUACAUAAAUUGAGCCCAAGAAUUCAAGUAAAAAUGCCUAUUCAAUGUUGGGCUGCACUAAUUUUUUUGGGCCUACUAACUUUUCAACCUACCUAAAGAUUUUGGGCCUAUUGUCUGCCUCAAUAUUGGUUUUGCCUUCCCUAAGGGUGUCAACGAGUCGAGUCCGGCUCUCGAGCCCAAACUUCCGACUCGGGCUUUAUCAAGACGGGUUUUUUUUUGCCCGAACCUCAACAAAAAAAGGCUUGACCCAAGCUUUCGGCUCGGGCCUUUUCGAGUUGAGUCGAGCCGAGGCAAGCUCAGUUUUUUUUUCUUUUCCCAAUGGCUGCAUCACGACAAACUCCACGGAGCCUGAAAGAGAUUCACA
Molecule: long non-coding RNA, 3778 nt
Filed under: Olea europaea subsp. europaea
Lineage: Eukaryota; Viridiplantae; Streptophyta; Magnoliopsida; Lamiales; Oleaceae
Source: RNAcentral